Molecule: ribosomal RNA, 468 nt
Filed under: uncultured bacterium
Lineage: Bacteria
Description: partial 16S ribosomal RNA
Rfam family: Bacterial small subunit ribosomal RNA
Source: RNAcentral
GACGAACGCUGGCGGCGUGCUUAACACAUGCAAGUCGAACGGAAAGGCCCUGCUUUUGUGGGGUUCUCGAGUGGCGAACGGGUGAGUAACACGUGAGUAACCUGCCCUUGACUUUGGGGUAACUUCAGGAAACUGGGGCUAAUACCGGAUAGGAGCUCCUGCUGCAUGGUGGGGGGGGGAAAGUUUCGGCGGGUGGGGAUGGACUCGCGGGUUAUGAGCUUGUUGGUGGGGGAGUGGAUUACCAAGGAUGUGACGGGUAGGCCGCCUGGGAGGGUGACCGGGGACAUUGGGACUGCGGUAGGGACCAGACUCCUACGUGAGGCAGCAGUGGGGAAUAUUGCACAAUGGGCGGAAGUCUGAUGCAGAAACGCCGCGUGUGGGAUGCCGGCCUUUGGGUUGUAAACCGCUUCAGCCUGUGACGCAGCGUGAGUGACGGUAAUGGGUAAAGAAGCACCGGCUAACUACGUG